Molecule: long non-coding RNA, 247 nt
Filed under: Lathyrus oleraceus (garden pea)
Lineage: Eukaryota; Viridiplantae; Streptophyta; Magnoliopsida; Fabales; Fabaceae
Description: Pisum sativum (pea) long non-coding RNA (PSAT_LNC014398)
Source: RNAcentral
AAUCCCACCUUUCUCACUUUUAAGUUAUUUUUUCUCUUUUAUUUGUUUUUUUUAUUUCUAACUUUUCUGUUUUUAAAACUACAAAAAAAAAUCACAAAAUUACAUUUUUUUUAAUUUUCGUAUUUAUAAAAUAGGCAUUUAAAAAAAAAAAUUCAUUUUUUAAACUUUUUUAUUUAAAAAAUAGCCAAAAAUCAUUAAAAAAAAGAUUGGAAAAAUUGUGUUCAUAUUUUAUUAUUCAAUUUCAUUU